This 448-nucleotide ribosomal RNA is filed under the name uncultured bacterium. Its description in RNAcentral is "bacterial SSU rRNA". It matches the Rfam family "Bacterial small subunit ribosomal RNA", at positions 331 to 793 of the family's 1533-position model. The record is from RNAcentral.
CCAGACUCCUACGGGAGGCAGCAGUGGGGAAUAUUGGACAAUGGGGGGAACCCUGAUCCAGCGACGCCGCGUGAGUGAAGAAGUAUUUCGGUAUGUAAAGCUCUAUCAGCAGGGAAGAAAGAAAUGACGGUACCUGACUAAGAAGCCCCGGCUAACUACGUGCCAGCAGCCGCGGUAAUACGUAGGGGGCAAGCGUUAUCCGGAUUCACUGGGUGUAAAGGGAGCGUAGACGGCCAAGCAAGCCAGGGGUGAAAGCCCGGGGCCCAACCCCGGGACUGCCCUUGGAACUGCAUGGCUAGAGUGCGGGAGGGGCAGACGGAAUUCCUGGUGUAGCGGUGAAAUGCGUAGAUAUCAGGAGGAACACCGGCGGCGAAGGCGGCCUGCUGGACCGCGACUGACGUUGAGGCUCGAAAGCGUGGGGAGCGAACAGGAUUAGAUACCCGCGUAC